Schizosaccharomyces pombe (fission yeast) is the source of this 251-nucleotide non-coding RNA. NCBI's taxonomy places the organism in Eukaryota, Fungi, Ascomycota, Schizosaccharomycetes, Schizosaccharomycetales, Schizosaccharomycetaceae. The record is from the annotation of a GenBank genome assembly.
UGCCGGUAAAAAUGUUUUUGUAGUUUCUACUAUGUGUUCUUAUAUUUUGUAUUUAGGCUAUUGGGGAUAAUUGCUCAUCCGUCUACUGUUUAUACGCAACAGCCGCAGAUAUUUUUUAUUUAUUUAAUUUUUAAUUAUUACCCUGACCCGAUAAUUAACCUUGUUAACUGACAUUAUCUUCAACCCCUGAAUAAUAAUUCAUUUGCCGUUGACUUAGAACAUACUAAAUUUAUUUAUUUCUUUUUUUAUUU